This is an RNA transcript of Hemibagrus wyckioides, 4311 nucleotides long. RefSeq lists it as uncharacterized. The transcript is spliced from 5 exons. Lineage: Eukaryota; Metazoa; Chordata; Actinopteri; Siluriformes; Bagridae. The record is from RefSeq and is a predicted model, not a curated record.
UUUUUCAAAUGCACACAACAUAAAGAUUAUCUAAGAAGACCAGCCAAAGUUUUGUAUAUUUUUUUAGUUUGCUUGGGGAAAAAAAAACUUUUGCACUCAACUUUACUAAAACAUUAAAGCUUUUUUUUUGUGAUAGACACAUUGCAGGUAUACUGUAAAGCCAUUAUAUAUUUUUAUAAAGAUAUUAAAGCCUUGAAUGACUCGUAGAUGUAGUAGUUUAAAGAAAACCUUAAGCUAGAGCACAAAAACACACACCUUUGUAGUUUCUGUUUACAAGCAGAACCUGUUUCCUAGACUUCCUGCUGCUUUCCUCAUGCAUUUAAUGAACUGUUACCAAGUACCUUCUUCCUGUUGUAUGUCUUAGUAUGCUGUCUGAUUGGAACUCAUGUCAAGUGCUCCAAGUAUUAUAAAACUUCGGCGUGCGACUGAAUAUGGUUUCUGCUGAAAAUAAAUCUAGGAAGAAAAGGAAAGAUGAAAAGAGAGAGCUGUACACUGGCUGGGAGAGCUCUGAUGCAGACAAUGCACUGAAUGACGCUAAUGCAUUUCAAGUCUGGCAGAAAUCUAAACAGCAAGUGAAAUGCAGAUAUUUGGAUGAAAGGAACAUUGUAUUAUCGCCUCAUUUAACUGUUACGUCCUGGUUCUCUGGCUCAGAGGGGAACGAUGUGGCAGAAACAUUACACCCAAGAUGUGACACAUCGCAAGAUAAUGCUCCCUCUAAUAAAUCUCCUGUGGCUCUCCCAGCAAGGCCCAACGAUUUGAGCCAAAGCACUUCAGACAUGGAAUCUUUCCAAAUAAACUCCACGUCCACUCACUCAAUGACCCAUAAACAAAAUAUCGUUCAUAGCCCCAGUCCAAGCAUCUCGGAGCUAAAACGGAGUCAGCCAUUAAUACGAUGGGCUUCUGCCACUCGUGAGCAGACAUCUGAGGAAUCGGUGCCCUGGCGAUGUAAAGGAUUUGCUCCAAUGAACCAUGAAGCAAAACCUGCUGAACCUCUGCAUCUCUGCAAAUGGCCAGCUGCCAAGAGACUGGAAUGGUGCCAGAAGAGCUUGGCCAGACUGGAAUAUCUGGGGGUGCAGUCACCAAAAAAUGUGCUUCCUGCUUGCAGACACAGGCCAGUGAUCCAGAGGCCAGCUGUGGGUCAUAAAGGAGAGCAGGUGCAUAACCGACAUGUGCAGAAAAGCUUCUGCUGGACAGCAGCAUCCAAAGGCCUGCUGAAUGAAGAUGGAACAAGGCCAGCUACAUUAGUAGACCCAUGUACCCAAGACGUGUAUAGCUGUUUGUGGAGUGCAGCACAAGCAGAAGUCUGUGGCAAGGAACUGGAACAAGACAGUGGUCAUAAGUUACACAGAAACAAUGUGAGCUGGUUGACGGACAUGCUGUGUCCAUCAGGAUGCCAUGGGAACGGCACGUCCUCUGCCAUUUCGCAUGAUAUCACUUUAUUCCACAUUCUCCAAGUACUACAGAGCAAACCAGUGAAUUUCCCCCAGGUCAGAGGACAGAGACGUCUCGAGACACUUCCUACUCUGAAUGCCUGAAUCCAUCCUUGAGAAGAACGUAAUACUUUUUUUCUAGAUUCUCAACAUGUCACUCUGGCAAACAGCAGCCAAACAAGGGUGAAGAGUUCAGCUACAGCAGACAGUCCACAGGGAUGAGCAUACCUCCAACAUAAUUCCUCUUUCAUCACAGAGCUGAACCCACCGAGCCCUUUCUUCAAACAUUAUAACCAACCAAGGCAUAGCUCCGCACUCAAGAGCACAGAAUAAUGGGUGUGACACACACUUUCAGCAUCCAGUGCUAUAAGCCUAGGUUAACAAGAUUUUUUUUUUUUGUCCUCCGGCAGAAAAAUGUGUUAUUCUUGGUGUGAAGUGACAACCACGAUUAGGUUCUUCUUCUUCGUGUGAACGAAUGAAGCCUUGCUCAGAUUUCUCAGGAGUAUACAGGAAUACACACCACCAAAGGAAAUCAGGAAAACUUUUUAAUAGACACUGGUUUGAAAUUUUAAUCCAUUUAUUAAAAUUUGAUGACAUUUUAAACUGUCUGUACACAAUAGUGCAUGUUGUCCAGGAAAUCAAUAGUUAGAGGUCCUUGUUAACACAGCCUCACGACAGCAGAAUCUUUAUAUCGCACUGUCUAUGAUAGAUAGUACAUCAAUAAGCAUGGCAGACUCCCUGCAUUAUUCUAAGCGAUUUUUCAAGUUUCAAUGUUGUUUCCUUUAUUUUAAUUAGCUUUUGGUUAAAUAAUGCAGAGGGUGCUUCACGAUAUGAAUGCAGACAUGGAGACAAGGGAACAGUACCAGAGUCAAAAUUUAGAAAAUGUUUUGUCUCAUCUGUAGGAAGUAUCCAGAAACUGCUUGCAAAACGGUACUUUGUGUUAGCUACACUCAAUUAUAAGAAUGAAAGGACAAAAAGAACAAAAAUGAACAGACUACAUGAAGAAUGCAGGGCAUAUGAAAAGAAUACAAUGACGAAACACACAAUUGUUUCAACGAUUGUUGGCUAUGCUCAAAAAGAUCAUUUUACGCAGUUAGUAUUUCUUAGAUACAAAGAUUUGGGAAGCAGAGUACUAUAUUCAUCAUCAAAUCUGUCCACUCUGAAGUAGGAUCUGACUGACUUACACUACAAUAACACCUGAAAAUGAAGAUUAAGAUAGAAGGAUUAAUGAAAUGCAACACUGAGAUACAAGCUACAGCAUACUUCACAUUCCACUUUAAAGCUCAUUAAGAGAGAGCAAGAGAUCGAGAGAGAGAGAUCGAGAGAGAGAGAGAGAGAGAUUUUAAUGAUUCUAUUACAUAAAAGAAGUGAUUGAAAAGCAUGAGCAGGCAUCCUCAUUCUUUAAACAGUCAGCACUGGUGAAAAAGACUCCAAAUCAAGUCCAAACCCUAACAUCUCAGAUCUAAAAGACUCCAUCACUCCGUCUAACGGCAGCCGCUUGAUUACCAUGACACGUCAGCUCCAAUCACAUGACCAUCAGGAUGCUUGAGAAUCUGUGUUCUAACCAAAAAAAAAAAAACCUGUGUGAGGAGAAUACAGAACAUUUCACAGGCUUUUCUUUUUUGCUACUUUUGGCUUUUGUGUUCACAUUAUUGACCAUAUAUAUUCACAGCAGACCCACAGAAUGUUCAUGAAUAAGCAUUCAAUUCCUUUCAUGUUUUCAUAUAUAAAUAUGAAUUUCAUGAUUUAAUGAUAUUUUACUCAUUAUUUGUCCCUGGAGGCAAAGCGGCAGGAUCCCACGCUCUCACCGCCGUAGCCAGGGUACGAGUCCCAGGCACGGAACGGACCCAGACACUGAGGGGUUAACUCUCACUGGCACUCCCAUGCCCGGUUAAAAUCAGGAAGGGCAUCCAGCGUAAAGCCUGUGCCAAAAAUCUCACAUGUGGAUCGGAUGAUCUGCUGUGGUGAACCAGAACAGGGAGCAGCUGAAGGACAACAACAACAUUCUUAGUCAAAGGAUUCAAUCCACAGGGAGUCGAAAUUUUUCUUUACAACAUUUGUCCAAUAUAAAUACAAGUCAAGUAGAAAUACUGGGAUUGUACACUAUAAAAGGUCAGUUUAAGAAAGAAAAAAAAAACUUUUACGAUGCAUUUAAAUGCCCUUGAUUGAGAAUUCUGUGUGCCAGUAAAUAUUUAAUUCAGGACCAGUGAUGUGAAGACACACUGUUUCAACUAUUUUUGUUUCUAUGAUGUUUUAGAUGAUCAGAUUUACUAUAUUUAUACACAAUGAUGCAUUUACCAAACUUUUGCAAUGGUGCUUUACUUUCACAUAUGAUUUGUGCCGUGUUUCCUCUUUCCUCGUGUUUCACAGUCAGAAGGCAGACGGAAAUUCUUUGCUUUCGUUGGUGAUAAAUGACAGUUCAUGUGUAUUACGUCUACUCGUAUGAUUCUAUUAUAACAGUGUCAAAGUCUAAAGAAAAAUAGAAUAAAACACGAUUCUUUGUAUGACAAUCAUCAGUCAUAAGUCUCACAGUUGUGACAUACUUAUUCAGUAGCCUGCAAUAUUGCAAAUGAGCGCUUGAACAAACAGAAAGCCGUUGUUUUAUUAGGGAUUUCUGUGAAAAAAUCUUACAGAGGAUUUCUGUGCGUGUUUUGGUAUAAAACAAAAAAAAGCAAUUAAUUUUGGCCAAAUGAAUGCACAGCAAUCAUGAAACAACACGGCAUUACCACUUUGCUCCAAAAUAUUGCAAGGAACGUUGCAAUCUACAGUCCCCACUGAAAGCAAGGUCAGUUUUUCCUAAACACUGAACACAUUCGAGUUGGAGAUCAAAUAUGAAACAACAGAUCAGAAUUUCCUGAUAUUUACGGCUAGAUGUGUUCAA